GAUGAACGCUGGCGGCGUGCUUAACACAUGCAAGUCGAACGGGAAUUAUUUUAUUGAAACUUCGGUCGAUAUGAUUUAAUUCUAGUGGCGGACGGGUGAGUAACGCGUGGGUAACCUGCCUUGUACAGGGGGAUAACAGUCAGAAAUGGCUGCUAAUACCGCAUAAGCGCACAGAGCUGCAUGGCUCCGUGUGAAAAACUACGGUGGUAUAAGAUGGACCCGCGUUGGAUUAGCUUGUUGGCAGGGUAACGGCCUACCAAGGCGACGAUCCAUAGCCGGCCUGAGAGGGUGAACGGCCACAUUGGGACUGAGACACGGCCCAGACUCCUACGGGAGGCAGCAGUGGGGAAUAUUGCACAAUGGGGGAAACCCUGAUGCAGCGACGCCGCGUGAAGGAAGAAGUAUCUCGGUAUGUAAACUUCUAUCAGCAGGGAAGAGAUUGACGGUACCUGACGAAGAAGCCCCGGCUAACUACGUG
RNAcentral lists this ribosomal RNA (478 nucleotides) under uncultured bacterium. RNAcentral's name for it is "partial 16S ribosomal RNA". It matches the Rfam family "Bacterial small subunit ribosomal RNA", at positions 28 to 507 of the family's 1533-position model. The record is from RNAcentral.